UUUAGGAGAAGUCUUAUUGUGAGGGCGAGUUAUAUAACACCAUAGGACUGGCCGUCCCAUAUGAAAAGAUUAUAUUAGAAUUGAAUGAAGCUUUGUUUAUAUAUUGAUAAUGACAGUAUAUAUAUCGUGUCUUGACUAAUUGCGUGCCAGCAGUCGCGGUAAUACGUAAGAGACUAGUGUUAUUCAUCUUAAUUAGGUUUAAAGGGUACCCAGACGGUCAAUAUAGCUUAUAAAAUGUUAGUACUUGACUAGAGUUUUAUGUAAGAGGGCAGUACUUGAGGAGGAGAGAUGAAAUUUCGUGAUACCAAAGGGACUCUGUAAAGGCGAAGGCAGCCCUCUAUGUAAAAACUGACGUUGAAGGACGAAGGCACAGAGAACAAACAGGAUUAGAUACCCAAGUAGUCUUUGCAGUAAAUGAUGAAUGCCAUAGGUUAGAUUGAUCAAUUAUAGUCUAGGGUUAGUUUAGCAAACUAAUGCCCUAUGAUAUAAUUCAAAAUAUCUGGUCUAUAAAUGAAAGUGUAAGCAUUUCACCUCAAGAGUAAUGUGGCAACGC
Molecule: ribosomal RNA, 553 nt
Filed under: Fusarium oxysporum f. sp. cepae
Lineage: Eukaryota; Fungi; Ascomycota; Sordariomycetes; Hypocreales; Nectriaceae
Description: SSU rRNA
Rfam family: Bacterial small subunit ribosomal RNA
Source: RNAcentral